GGCCUAUUAGCUCAGCUGGUUAGAGCGUCGUACUGAUAACGCGAAGGUCGCAGGUUCGAGACCUUCAUGGGCCA
This 74-nucleotide transfer RNA is filed under the name Oryza nivara. RNAcentral describes it as "tRNA tRNA-Ile". It matches the Rfam family "tRNA". From Rfam's summary of the family: Transfer RNA (tRNA) molecules are approximately 80 nucleotides in length. Their secondary structure includes four short double-helical elements and three loops (D, anti-codon, and T loops). Lineage: Eukaryota; Viridiplantae; Streptophyta; Magnoliopsida; Poales; Poaceae. The record is from Rfam by way of RNAcentral.